AAACUUUCAACAACGGAUCUCUUGGUUCUGGCAUCGAUGAAGAACGCAGCGAAAUGCGAUAAGUAAUGUGAAUUGCAGAAUUCAGUGAAUCAUCGAAUCUUUGAACGCACAUUGCGCCCUCUGGUAUUCCGGGGGGCAUGCCUGUCCGAGCGUCAUUG
RNAcentral lists this ribosomal RNA (158 nucleotides) under Bacidia fraxinea. RNAcentral's name for it is "5.8S ribosomal RNA". It matches the Rfam family "5.8S ribosomal RNA". From Rfam's summary of the family: 5.8S ribosomal RNA (5.8S rRNA) is a component of the large subunit of the eukaryotic ribosome. RNAcentral also lists the same sequence under 1 other name. Lineage: Eukaryota; Fungi; Ascomycota; Lecanoromycetes; Lecanorales; Ramalinaceae. The record is from RNAcentral.